UUGAAAAACAUCCUCCUGCGCUGUGCGUCUCCCGCACGCUCGGAGUUGUUAUUUCCACACACCAGUGCACCUUCGGGCUGCCUCCCCUUGCGGGGUCGGCGCUCGCCUUUUCCAUUAACCCAAUGUAUCUGAAUGUCUCUGUAUAUCUAAUACAAUA
RNAcentral lists this unclassified non-coding RNA (157 nucleotides) under uncultured Auriculariales. RNAcentral's name for it is "sequence contains ITS1". Lineage: Eukaryota; Fungi; Basidiomycota; Agaricomycetes; Auriculariales. The record is from RNAcentral.